UAGGGAAUCUUCGGCAAUGGACGGAAGUCUGACCGAGCAACGCCGCGUGAGUGAAGAAGGUUUUCGGAUCGUAAAGCCCUGUUGUUAGAGAAGAACGUUGGUAGGAGUGGAAAAUCUACCAAGUGACGGUAACUAACCAGAAAGGGACGGCUAACUACGUGCCAGCAGCCGCGGUAAUACGUAGGUCCCGAGCGUUGUCCGGAUUCAUUGGGCGUAAAGCGAGCGCAGGCGGUUCUUUAAGUCUGAAGUUAAAGGCAGUGGCUUAACCAUUGUACGCUUUGGAAACUGGCGGACGUGAGUGCAGAAGGGAAGAGUGGAAUUCCAUGUAUAGCGGUGAAAUGCGUAGAUAUAGGAAGGAACACCGGUGGCGAAAGCGGCUCUCUGGUCUGUAACUGACGCAGAGGCUAGAAAGCGUGGUGAGCAAACAGG
RNAcentral lists this ribosomal RNA (429 nucleotides) under Bacillota bacterium. Its description in RNAcentral is "Firmicutes bacterium partial 16S ribosomal RNA". It matches the Rfam family "Bacterial small subunit ribosomal RNA", at positions 355 to 776 of the family's 1533-position model. The record is from RNAcentral. Lineage: Bacteria; Bacillati; Bacillota.